UCUCUCUCUCUCUCUCUUUCUUUGUCCACAGGGCAGUCUCUUAGCAACAAAGUCCAUCAGACUCCUACUGCAAUACUUAAAGGAUCUAAAGAUAAUGUACAACUCACCUGCAACCAUACUAUUCAAAACUACGAUACAAUACUCUGGUACCAACAGUCAACAGGAGACACUGCUAUGAAACUCAUUGGUUAUGCACAAUACAAGUCAAUAACCAUGGAGAAAUCAUUUGAAAAGCACUUCAAUGUGAGUGGAGAUGGUUCGAAAGAGGCGUAUCUUCAUCUACUGAGUCUGAGAGCACCUGAAGACAGUGCAGUGUAUUACUGUGGCUGUCACAACCAGACAACGUCCAGCAGACUCCUACUGCAAUACUAA
This is a non-coding RNA of Salvelinus namaycush (lake trout), 372 nucleotides long. NCBI's taxonomy places the organism in Eukaryota, Metazoa, Chordata, Actinopteri, Salmoniformes, Salmonidae. The record is from the annotation of a RefSeq genome assembly.